This 1498-nucleotide long non-coding RNA is filed under the name Homo sapiens (human). RNAcentral describes it as "HSALNT0232065". The record is from RNAcentral. Lineage: Eukaryota; Metazoa; Chordata; Mammalia; Primates; Hominidae.
CCCGGACUCAGCCUCACAGAUGACUACCCGCUUUCGGACUCCCUCUCAGAGGGCUACCCACUUUGGGCCCCCUCUCAUUGUUGAGAGCUUUUCUGUGGCUCAAUAAAAUUCUUCUCUGCCUUGCUCACUCUCCUGAUUUCUCUUGAUCGUGGGACGAGAACCCAGAGCCUGCCAAACAGUGGCUGCUGCGAAAAGAGCUGUAACGUGUGCUCCUGCUUCCUGAGCUACAGGAGUGAAAAAAACUGCUGGACGCCACACACCCCGAUUUGCUGAGCUGCCAGCGCGGGACCAAACGAGUUGCGACACACCCCCAUUUGCCGAAGCUGCAGGUGGCAGGAACAAACGACAGCUGUUAACACUUCCUGGGGGGCUCAGACCUUGGGACUCCCCAGGCAAAAGCUAGAACACCCCUUGGGGCUCCACAGUUGUUGGCAUCUCCAAGUUUUCAGAUUGCACAGAAGCUUAGGAAUAUGUGCAAGCCUAGAUGUGAUCCCAGUCCAACAGAUUUCACAGCCUUCUCUCUACCUGAGUUUUACUUCGGCUCCCUGACAACAAUGCAAAUUUGUCAAGCAGCUUGAUUGUCUGAAUCAAUCCUCACAGAAACCUAUUUUAUGGAUGAAGAAACAGAGGCUCAAAGAUGUUAAGCCAUUUCACUAAAGUCAUGCAAUCGGUAAGCUAUGGGGGCAAAGUCAAGCUAGCUAAAAAAUUGUGUUCACUCGGUGAAUGUCCUGUGAAUGACCUGUCUCCCUGUUUUACUUUUCUAACGCAAGAAUCUGGACCAAGGACUCACAGAGGAUAAUAGAAUAAGCAUUGAAUAAACUAGUUUGGUUGCUUACUGUUUAAAACCCAUUUUAGAAGGAAAUGAAAUAUAUUUUCUCAGAAAAUUAACAUUUUAAUAUCUUAUGAUUUUCAUCUACUUGCUUCUGUGUGUGUGUGGAUAUGUACAUUAUAAGUCCUAAGCCUAUCAGAAAAUUUCAUUUUCCUAGAUAAAAUCAUUGUACAGGGACUGACAAGUGAUCAAUAAAUUGAAUUUUGGUGAACUAUUGCUUGAAAGGCUGGGAGAAGCAUGUUCUCUCCUUUGCAUAUUGUCACAUCCAGAUGAAGCCUUGAAAUUCUUGAGUACACAACUUUCUGAUGGAACAUGAUGCUGAUACCAAAAAGACAGGCAAGAUGGGAAAUGUGUAGAUAAAUGGAUAAAUGAAUAAAUGGAGUCACAACACCUAGCUUAGGUGAAAAGCAGAAACUGGCCUACCUCCAGAAUUCCAGUGAUGUGUACUGCUGAUACAUUUCCUGAUGGUUUAAGCCCAUUGAUUUGGAUUUUUAUUAUUUGAUACAAAAUGUAUACUAAUUGAUAUGUUUGCAGAAUUGAAAUUCAUACACCCGCUCUGGCAGACACUAGCCAUGGGAUUUGGGGUUAACCUAAAUGGAUCCUCAACUUCUAACCAAAUAGAACUACAUUUCUACCCAAAUUGGUUGCUAUGAGUAUGAGACAGGACAA